RNAcentral lists this long non-coding RNA (533 nucleotides) under Androctonus crassicauda. The record is from RNAcentral. Lineage: Eukaryota; Metazoa; Arthropoda; Arachnida; Scorpiones; Buthidae.
AUGAGCCAUAUGGAAAUAUCAUUUUAUCAUAUUAUUCAUUUUUUAUGAUAUAGUAUUUGGAAUCCAUUGGCGUUUUAUGUCUAAUUUUAAUAUUGAUUUGAUCAGCAUAUUAUAUGUCACGACGACGACAUAGUCGUGACGAUAUGACGUCAUGAUAAUGACGCCAUUCAGUUAUUGUAUUAGUGACGCCAUCCAUCGUGGCGUCACAUUAAUGCCACUGCGGUGCAGCUGUGACGUCAUCCCGAAUUUGAAACUGACUCUAAAGGAUUUAAAUGAAGGCAUUUUCGCUGUUAUCUUAAAAUGUCCCCUGCGGUUAAUCUAUGUUAUCUGCAGAAAAAAAAAAUCGUUACUAAGAAUAAGAAAUCUUUAUUUGAUCUUGACGAUAAAGUAAUUUUAGCUGACAGAUGCGAUAUCAGUUUUAAUCAUACAAAAUUAUGUAUUAUCGAAUUUAUUACGGAAUAAAAAAUAAACUUUUUCAUAAUUUUUCAAAAUAUUAAUAUGUAUUGUGUGUGUGUGUGUGUGUGUGUGUGUGU